AGAGUUUGAUCAUGGCUCAGAUUGAACGCUGGCGGCAGGCCUAACACAUGCAAGUCGAGCGGUAGCACAGAGAGCUUGCUCUCGGGUGACGAGCGGCGGACGGGUGAGUAAUGUCUGGGAAACUGCCUGAUGGAGGGGGAUAACUACUGGAAACGGUAGCUAAUACCGCAUAACGUCGCAAGACCAAAGUGGGGGACCUUCGGGCCUCAUGCCAUCAGAUGUGCCCAGAUGGGAUUAGCUAGUAGGUGGGGUAACGGCUCACCUAGGCGACGAUCCCUAGCUGGUCUGAGAGGAUGACCAGCCACACUGGAACUGAGACACGGUCCAGACUCCUACGGGAGGCAGCAGUGGGGAAUAUUGCACAAUGGGCGCAAGCCUGAUGCAGCCAUGCCGCGUGUGUGAAGAAGGCCUUCGGGUUGUAAAGCACUUUCAGCGGGGAGGAAGGCGAUAAGGUUAAUAACCUUGUCGAUUGACGUUACCCGCAGAAGAAGCACCGGCUAACUCCGUGCCAGCAGCCGCGGUAAUACGGAGGGUGCAAGCGUUAAUCGGAAUUACUGGGCGUAAAGCGCACGCAGGCGGUCUGUCAAGUCGGAUGUGAAAUCCCCGGGCUCAACCUGGGAACUGCAUUCGAAACUGGCAGGCUAGAGUCUUGUAGAGGGGGGUAGAAUUCCAGGUGUAGCGGUGAAAUGCGUAGAGAUCUGGAGGAAUACCGGUGGCGAAGGGGGCCCCCUGGACAAAGACUGACGCUCAGGUGCGAAAGCGUGGGGAGCAAACAGGAUUAGAUACCCUGGUAGUCCACGCCGUAAACGAUGUCGAUUUGGAGGUUGUGCCCUUGAGGCGUGGCUUCCGGAGCUAACGCGUUAAAUCGACCGCCUGGGGAGUACGGCCGCAAGGUUAAAACUCAAAUGAAUUGACGGGGGCCCGCACAAGCGGUGGAGCAUGUGGUUUAAUUCGAUGCAACGCGAAGAACCUUACCUGGUCUUGACAUCCACAGAACUUUCCAGAGAUGGAUUGGUGCCUUCGGGAACUGUGAGACAGGUGCUGCAUGGCUGUCGUCAGCUCGUGUUGUGAAAUGUUGGGUUAAGUCCCGCAACGAGCGCAACCCUUAUCCUUUGUUGCCAGCGGUUAGGCCGGGAACUCAAAGGAGACUGCCAGUGAUAAACUGGAGGAAGGUGGGGAUGACGUCAAGUCAUCAUGGCCCUUACGACCAGGGCUACACACGUGCUACAAUGGCAUAUACAAAGAGAAGCGACCUCGCGAGAGCAAGCGGACCUCAUAAAGUAUGUCGUAGUCCGGAUUGGAGUCUGCAACUCGACUCCAUGAAGUCGGAAUCGCUAGUAAUCGUAGAUCAGAAUGCUACGGUGAAUACGUUCCCGGGCCUUGUACACACCGCCCGUCACACCAUGGGAGUGGGUUGCAAAAGAAGUAGGUAGCUUAACCUUCGGGAGGGCGCUUACCACUUUGUGAUUCAUGACUGGGGUGAAGUCGUAACAAGGUAACCGUAGGGGAACCUGCGGUUGGAUCACCU
Molecule: ribosomal RNA, 1528 nt
Filed under: Klebsiella pneumoniae
Lineage: Bacteria; Pseudomonadati; Pseudomonadota; Gammaproteobacteria; Enterobacterales; Enterobacteriaceae
Description: bacterial SSU rRNA
Rfam family: Bacterial small subunit ribosomal RNA
Source: RNAcentral